AAAACUUAUCACAUAGGAGGGAUUAAUCACGCUACCAAAAUUAGAAAGCAUGUAGUUCUGAGAGACUGAAUGUCCAAAUUGGAUGCUCAUAGCACUUAAACUCUUGAGCAUCUAGAAUCCACUACAACAUUUAAAAUGGCAGCUGAUGUCUGUGGGAACCCUGGAUGUUUAGGAGCUGGCUAAAGCUAGAGUUCUCAUACUCUUUGAUUAAGGGCACCACUUUCAGAUAAAAACAUAGACCUGAAUGGCAUCAUCCAGUAUCCAAGGAAACCAUGUAACAUGCACAACCGGUUUGUUUGAACAACAAGAACAUGUUAAAUUCAAGCCUUCCUAUGGAUUUGCUCUUUUCUCACUUCUGGUUGAAAUCUUAGUCAUCCCCACUGAUAUCUGCACCAUUUCCCGAUAUCAAAAAAGGAGGCUUUCAGUGCAAGAGUGGUGGAUGGCAGGGAUCAAAUUUAAACCUGUGAUUUUGGAGCUUACUCAUCAGAGGAGAAAUAUCAUGAGCUAUUUGCUCUCUCUGCUGUAACACAGCUCUGGCACGCCUGGAAGUUAUGUUGAGAUCGUCAAAUCUACAGUCAAGGACCAUCUUUGUGAAUCAUGAAACCAUAUGCCACUGGUUGUCUGAAUUGAAAGAAAAAAAACAACAAAAACAAAAACCCCAACUCUACACCAAUGAAACUAGUGAUGUGAUCAGACAGUGCCAGGGGCCAUUUGACCAUCUUAUACCUUCUCAAUCUAUACAUUAAAAAGAAAUCUCUGCUAUUGCCUGAGCCAUGUAAAAUACCAGAACUCCUGUAGUGCUAACAAGGAAUAAAGAUCUUGCACCAGAUGGUGCCUCUUGUCUCCAUCUAUCUCUAGCCCAAACAAUCUGCCAGAGUUUUGAAGAAAAAUGCAAUGUGAUCGUGUUGCAAAGUAUAUGAAGAAACAGUAUGAAAAGUAAUCUGGCUCAAGCAGUGGAACCCAGAAGGAAAGGGAUUAUUAUGACUCUUUGAGCCUAUGGAUGAGGGUGCUGUUAUCUCUGCACAUUAGUCCAUAAAACAAAUGGUACAUCCAGGCACAGCUGGAAGGAGAGUAUCUCACUGAGAUGUCUCUUCGCAUCUCUGCAACAUUUUGAUAUUAGUCAAUCUGGUUGAAAUUUCAGGAAUUCAUCUGGAUAUUUUGUUUAUAUAACAAAAUAAACAGUUUGAUGACUUUUUAAAAACUUACUAGCUAUAAAGGGAUAGUGCACAGAAGAAUUAUAUUAUUUAAUAUGUUUUUCUGUAUCAUCUCGCAUACUGAAUUUGUCCAUAUUAAUGAUGAGAACUUGCAUACAGUUUCUAUGUCCCUUUUGCAGAAUAUUCUUAAAAUUUUCUUUAAUAAGCUUGUAUGGGCUUUUUGGUCAUUUCUCUGCUUCUCAUUAAGACUUUUGUGACCACAAUGUUUUCAAAUAUCUUCUCAUCCUCUCAUACUUCUAUCAAGAUAUUGGUACCUCUUUGCCAUAAGACCUUUGACAGUUUUAUCUAACACCUAUAGGAUUUGAAAGUGCUUUAUGAUCAGCGGAUAUUUACUGGAGAGAAAAGACCUUCCCAGGUCCUUUCUAGAUGCAACUCAUCUGAACAGACAAUAUAAUUUUAUUUUACUUGUGGUGCUUGGACUGGAAUGAUGUAAAUGACAAGCCUAGAAAAUAAUGGUGAUUUGAUAGAAGGUAGCUCAUUGGUGCUAUUCAGAGUGUGGUCUUCAGACUGAUUCUGAUUGGCAAACUGAUAAAGGUCUAUGAUUAGACAAAUGCAGAAAUUGAGAGUCAGCAUUUAGAAAUUUCUACAGCAAUUUGACAUGGCUGUGACAUCCAAGCAUGUGAUCACUUCUCCAGAAGUUCAUUUUAGUUUAGUUUACCAAAGUAUCAGUCCAUGAUGGAUUGGAGGAAAUAAAAACUCUGUUCACUAAUUGUGUUCAGACAGCUUACGAAGCACCACUUUAGAGUCCAUAAUUUCAUGAUUUUGUGUAAGAUGAGAUUGAAGUAGAGACAAUGGAUCCACACACAAAGAGAAGGUUAUAGCAAUCAUCUAGUUACACGUUAACCAUGACUCAGGAGCUUUACUGGGAGUUGUCGAAGGAAAGGAAUACGUAUAUCUUGGAAAUGUUACAUGGAGAAGGAAUAAGAUAUAGUCUUGAACUGAGCAGGCCAUGUGACAAGGAGACAAAUGCUGCCCCGGCAUUAGCCUAGAUGGUGCUGCUGCCGAUAGAUGUAGAAAAGCUUCAUUGGAAAGACAGCCUCAAAAACACUAGGAAUUCUGGCUUUUUAAUUCUGAGUCAGUGCUGGCAAAACAUCCAUUUAGAAAUUUGCAGUGAACCAUGAAAGACUAUGGACCUCACUGAAGAGUUCAAUAUUAGAAAUUUAGAACAGACGGGAAAUUCUUCCUGAUAGCUGUCCUGAGAAAGAGAAGUUUUCUUCUUCACAUUUUCUCAAGUUUGAGAUGAGAUAACGCUAUUUGCAACUUAUCUUCUUUUUCAUUAUAAGGUAGAUACAAUACCUCAUGGGCGUGGAUGAAAGACACGUUCUCAGUACACUCCUGCCUUUGUGGGAUAUGUUGGCAUAUUCCACGCACUGAAGAAACGCCAUGGCUAGGUUAGCCCAUAAUAAGAGUAGCGAAGUCUGCUUAAUGAUGGUGUAUUUAAAUGAUGCUGGAAAUAAAACUUUUUUUGGUAUCUCAGAUUCGAAUGUUGUCAUGGAAAUAUUAUUAGAAAUAAGUAGUGGUAAACUCUCUUCAGGUUAUUUCCAUAACACCUUUUCUUUUUUUCUUCUUUAACCUCUUAAUAGAGUUGAAAUAAUGUUUUUAGUGCCAACAAUAGUAUCAUUAUGAUUUCUGAUUUCUAGUUGUAGUAUUAUAAGUGAUAUUGUUAAUUGUGUUUUAAACUUUUUGUCAGUUAGUAGGUUUUUUAUGGGCUGUGAUAAUGAUCCAUAUGGACAACUGUUUAUAUCGUUGCUUUUAUGGAAAUCCUAUGCCAGAGUUGAGGCUAGAGGAAAGGUUGGUACUUCGUCUAAUUCAUCACACACACACACACACUCACACACACACACACACACAACUACCAGAUGAUCUCUUUUGACUCCUUGGUGCAAGUAGCAAAGGAAAUGUUGGGACUCAGGUAAAGAUUCAUCUCUCUAGGUCUUGGAGAGCCUGCAGUUCACCCAAAAUGUGGAUUGUUUGUUUUUAAAGAUGCAUCAUAGAAGUACUGGCUUCACAGUUGGAAAGAAAUCCUUGUCAUUUUAUCUUCUUUUAUCAAAUACCUAACCCAGUUCCAUUUUAGCCCUGCUGCCCAGGGAAGAGGCACAGUUCCACCUGCUGCUGGCCUCUGAGGGGAGUGGGGAGUAGAAUGAUAGCUCUCCCUGAGCUUUGGGAAGUGUGUUGCUUGCUGAGUUUAACCUCACAUUGAACCAAUGGCAGAGGCCAAGACAACGUCAGCUAAAUAAUCUCCCUUUUAGCUCAUUAACACAUAGGAAAUGUAUAGGCAAAGUUACACUUUCUGUUUUAUUUUUUCCUUUUUCUUUCUUGACCAUCCUUCUAAAACUUCCCACUGCUUCUGCCUUCAUGUCUUUGUGCUCUUCCCUCUGUAUGGGCAUCGUUUGAUGGGCAGGGAGCGCCUGCUUUCACAUUGCUCGUCAUCUGAGCUGUCGUCUCGCGUGCAGGGUAUUUCAAUGCGAUUGCAUCUCUAUUCAUCUACUGACAGAAGUGGCAAUGAUGCAGACAGGGAUAUUUGUUAUUGAAACAAACAAAGCGUGUGGUGUUAUAGAUUCGUAUGUAAAACCUUCACAACAAAACUAAGUAGCUAUUUACUUUAAAUAUGCCAAUUAACUGUUACUAAUGUACAGUGCAAUUCUAGGUUAAGGAUGAUUGAUAGUAACACGCCGUGAAAUGUUCUUAAACUACAGUCAGGAAAUGUAAAUGUACAAAAUGGAAAGAACCAGCGGCUGACAGCACUAGUUACAUGUUUCAAAACAACACUUUCAAAUUGUUCCUUUAUUGUUCUUUCAUCCUUUCUCUAUUCUGCACUUCUACAGCCUGGUAGCCAACAGUAUACUAAGAAAGUUCUGGAAAAGAGAAAAUGUUUUAGUACGAAGUAAACAUCAUGGGCCUAAUCUCAUCUGUUUCGCUCAGGCAGAACUCUUAGGAACCACAGUGGGAGUUUUGCUUGACUGAAGAGAAUAGUCUUGUCUCUUUUAAAUGUCUGACAUUGAAUCUGUCGCUAUUACACCACUAAUUAAAAGGAGAGUUGACUUCUCCUUACUUGCUAUGUCCUGUCUAUGUGCAGUCACUUCUUCAUUUGCUCUGAGCAGCACCAUCCAAAAGAAAUACAAAGAAAGCCACAAAUACUAGCCACAUAUAUAUUCUUAAAUUUUCUAAGAGCCAGAUUUAAAAAGUAAAAGUAAACAGGUGACAUUAAUUUUAAGAACAUUUAUUGAGCCUGAUAGAGCCAAGUUAUUAUCAUCUUAACAUAUAAUCAAUGUAAAAUAGGAAUAAGGUAUUUUGUGUUCUUUUCUUCAUACUAAGUCUUAGGAAUCUGGUGUGUAUUUUAUGGUUACAGCUUAUGCCAGUUCAGGUGAACCACAUCUCAAGGUUUUGGUGGCUUUCCGUGGCCAGUGUCUACUGUAUGGGACAGCAUAGCUCUAUAUGUCACCAUUUGACGAUCAGUCUAAUAUCUGUGAUUAAAAUGUUUACACUGGGCAGUCAGGAAAAGCUGGGUAUGCAUCCUCAAUCAGCGCAAUGAUACAAUUUCUGUUCAAUUCUGCCAGUUACUGCUAAAGCCCACCACCUUUUUGGAGAAAGAUUAGUCAAAUUUCAUAAACUCUGCCAGCUGCCUGAUGAUUUUAUACAGCUACCUGGCUGUUAAAUACUAAAGUGUCUGUAGCAGGGGUACUAUGUAAAUAUUCUUUUAGUAAAAUCUCAAAAGAAAAAAAGGAAUUACUUACAAAAUAAAAACAUAACAUCAAAGUCCUUUUGGUUUGCAUCAUUUAAAUGUCAGUUGAACAUUUUCAUGAUGCAUUUCAUGUUCCUCACAACAAUGAAAGUUGAGUGUGUAUUGUUAGAAAAACAAUCAGUAAGUGCAGAUAUUGUCAAAUGAACCCUCUGAGAUGGAAAAUUGGAUCUACUUAACUCCAGUUAAUUAUUUAUUAACACCAACUGUAAACUAAAAAAUGUAAUGCAAACACGAUUAAGCAGAAAUUGAACAUCCAACAAGGAGGAGAUAAUAAAAGAGAAGCUAUUUUUUUGGAAUGAUAGGAUUUUCCACAAUCAGACUAAUUGUAUUAAUUUAGUAUCUCCUGUGUGCCACACCCUGGUAAAUGCUGUGGAGGUAAAUGAUAACAACAAUAGCAACACAAUUAUGUCAUACUUGUUCAGAUUUGGGGAGGACGUUUGUGCAACGAGCAAUCUCCAAAACAAACCAUAAUAAACUAAGUGCUGUAAUUAAGGUGAUUAUCAGAAGUACUGAAAUAAUCCAUAAGUGUGUAAUCUUUGAAGAAUCAUGGAGAAUUGUGGAAAGGCACCCAUUUCCGCCCCUUCCCUGCUCUGCUCUGGCCCCCGUCCUAGCUGCGUUUCCCAGAUUUCUGUGUCAGCUGACUCUCCAGUGGGUUCAGCCAGUGGGAAACCACGGUGGGAGAGUAAAGGGCUGGAGGAAGGGUAAAGCCAGGUUGUUUUCCCUGUUUCUUGGUGCCUCAGGUUAUAUCUCUGGGAAUGUCUCAAGGAAUGUCUUUUCUGUAGGUGCAAUGCCUGCUCUGCAUUGCUGUCACAGUUCUGUCUUCCUCUGGGUAACCCUGACUCCUGGCCCUGAUGUCACAGACUUCUCCCUUUUCUCCUCUAGUCUGGAAGUGCUAGUGAUUUGCUGCUAUUUCUGCUCUCUGGCUGGCCUCCUCACUCCCUGUUUAGUGAGCCUUUGUGCUUCUGUGUAACCAAUUCCCUGUAUUAAAUCCACCGCCUUCCCUCAUUUUAAAUACUUAGAGCUGCCACACCCCCACGCCCCAGUUGAAUUGUGACUGAUAUGAAAUAUAGAUUCUGGAAACAAAAAUGAGCAAAGUUCCAACUGAAUUAUUAAACAGAUUGCUUAGGUGCACCCAAAAGUAGGCAGUGAUUACUAAGAGCCAGCAUGAGUUUUUAGGAGCAAUCAUGACCAGUUCCCUUUGCUUCUUUAAUCGGUGGUUGAAGAAAUAUUGGCAUUAGUACAUGAGCAAGGCCUUUGAAGUGAUCUCUCAUGAUGUCCUUGUGGUUAAUAGACACAUGUGUGCUGGAUGAUACAGAUUUAGUCAGGUUUAGAGGCUGUACUGGAAAAUACCUAGAGGGAACCAUGGCUGCCUUUCAAUAUUUGAAGAGGGAUUAGAUUAAAUCUUUGAAACACUAGAGGCCAGAGCCAGGAUCAAUGUUUGAAGUUCAGGGAAUCUGAUUUUGGCUCAGUAAAUGGAAGUGCGUUCUAAGAAUUAGACUUCUUCAGAAAUGGAAUAGGCUGUCUAUGAGGGAGAUGAUUUCUGUCCGUGGUUGUAUCCAGACAGAUUUUACCUGUGAGGGAUGGAGUAAAGCGGAUUCCUGCAUUGAACUUGAAAUAGAUUAUUCUGAAAGUCUCUUCCGACUCUGAAAGCUUAAGAACUUGUGAAUAUCAUCAUCCAUGCUUGAUACUAGCAUGGCACCAAAUGUAAUUUUGUCAUUUGAUGAGACUUCAGAAGGAGCCCCAAAACUUGCUCUGCCUCUGGGUGAUCAUGGUUAAUAUAAGAGAUCACUGUCCUAGUAAAGAACCAAUUAAUCAAAUUUCCUGGUUUACAGAAGCACAAAUAUACUAUUUUCAGUUCAAAGAGAAAAUAUUUUUCUCUAGACAAUCAGCAUAAAAAUAAAGGGGCAUAAAGCCUGUGCAAAUACUAC
Long non-coding RNA from Equus caballus (horse), 6884 nucleotides. Lineage: Eukaryota; Metazoa; Chordata; Mammalia; Perissodactyla; Equidae. The record is from Ensembl.